This 210-nucleotide long non-coding RNA is filed under the name Ananas comosus (pineapple). RNAcentral's name for it is "long non-coding RNA (ACOM_LNC014612)". Lineage: Eukaryota; Viridiplantae; Streptophyta; Magnoliopsida; Poales; Bromeliaceae. The record is from RNAcentral.
UAGGUAUAUUUGUGAUUAUCCUUUUUUUAAAUAUAUUUUUAUUAUUUUGAAGGGCAUUUUUGAUAUAAAUUAUAAAAAAUGGAUGGAAUAGUAAUGAAAUUCUAACCGAGGGGGGCUAAAUGCAACAAUUUGAAAUGUUUAAGUGGGUAUAAAAUGUAAGUUUUUGAAAAUUGGAAAGAGAAAAUAAAAAAAAAAUAGAUAUUUAUAAAA